AGCAGCCGCGGUAAUUCCAGCUCCAAUAGCGUAUAUUAAAGUUGUUGCAGUUAAAAAGCUCGUAGUUGAAUUUCGGGGUUAGCAGGUCGGUCGUGCCAUCGGUAUGAACUGGUCUCGCUGAUCCCUCCCUCUUGACGAACUGUGAUGCCAUUAAUUUGGUGUCGCAGGGAAUCAGGACUGUUACUUUGAAAAAUUAGAGUGUUUAAAGCAGGCUCACGCUUGAAUACAUUAGCAUGGAAUAAUGAAAUAGGACGUUUGAUCCUAUUUUGUUGGCUUCUAGGAUUGACGUAAUGAUUAAUAGGGAUAGUUGGGGGCAUUAGUAUUCAAUUGUCAGAGGUGAAAUUCUUGGAUUUAUUGAAGACUAACUACUGCGAAAGCAUUUGCCAAGGAUGUUUUCAUUAAUCAAGAACGAAAGUUAGGGGAUCGAAGACGAUCAGAUACCGUCGUAGUCUUAACCAUAAACUAUGCCGACUAGGAUCGGAUGAUGUUAAUUUUUUAAUGACU
This 504-nucleotide unclassified non-coding RNA is filed under the name uncultured Glomus. Its description in RNAcentral is "SSU rRNA". It matches the Rfam family "Eukaryotic small subunit ribosomal RNA", at positions 569 to 1076 of the family's 1831-position model. Lineage: Eukaryota; Fungi; Glomeromycota; Glomeromycetes; Glomerales; Glomeraceae. The record is from RNAcentral.